RNAcentral lists this ribosomal RNA (915 nucleotides) under uncultured Spirochaetota bacterium. Its description in RNAcentral is "bacterial SSU rRNA". It matches the Rfam family "Bacterial small subunit ribosomal RNA", at positions 8 to 916 of the family's 1533-position model. Lineage: Bacteria; Pseudomonadati; Spirochaetota. The record is from RNAcentral.
AGAGUUUGAUCCUGGCUCAGAACGAACGCUGGCGGCGUGUCUUAAGCAUGCAAGUUGAGCGGCAAGGGGGAGCAAUCCCCCCUAGAGCGGCGGACUGGUGAGUAACACGUGGGUGACCUGCCUUUGUCUUGGGGAUAGCCAUUAGAAAUAGUGGGUAAUACCGAAUACGCUUGCACACGUAGAGGUGUGUAAGGAAAGGCGCUACGGCGCCGGACGAAGAUGGGCCCGCGUCCCAUUAGCUAGUUGGUGAGGUAACGGCUCACCAAGGCGAUGAUGGGUAGGCGGCCUGAGAGGGUGUACGCCCACAUUGGGACUGAGAUACGGCCCAAACUCCUACGGGAGGCAGCAGCUAAGAAUAUUCCGCAAUGGACGAAAGUCUGACGGAGCGACGCCGCGUGGAUGACGAAGGCCGAAAGGUUGUAAAAUCCUUUUGCUGGGGAAGAAUAAGCAUGGGAGGGAAUGCCCGUGUGAUGACAUGAACCGGCGAAUAAGCCCCGGCUAACUACGUGCCAGCAGCCGCGGUAACACGUAGGGGGCGAGCGUUGUUCGGAAUUACUGGGCGUAAAGGGCAUGUAGGCGGCCUUGUAAGCCUGGCGUGAAAUUCCACGGCUCAACCGUGGGAAUGCGUCGGGAACUGCGAGGCUUGAGUGACGGAGAGGGAGCUAGAAUUCCUGGUGUAGGGGUGAAAUCUGUAGAUAUCAGGAAGAAUACCAAUGGCGAAGGCAAGCUCCUGGCCGAUGACUGACGCUGAGGUGCGAAAGUGUGGGGAUCAAACAGGAUUAGAUACCCUGGUAGUCCACACGGUAAACGAUGUGCACUAGGUGCUGGGGCGGAUGCUUCAGUGCCGGAGCUAACGCGGUAAGUGCACCGCCUGGGGAGUAUGCUCGCAAGGGUGAAACUCAAAGGAAUUGACGG